This 396-nucleotide long non-coding RNA is filed under the name Struthio camelus australis. RNAcentral's name for it is "lncRNA (ENSSCUG00000011567.1)". Lineage: Eukaryota; Metazoa; Chordata; Aves; Struthioniformes; Struthionidae. The record is from RNAcentral.
UCAACGUAAAUUUCACUGAAGUCCCUAACUUAGUGCAUUUACCUAAGUAGCAUUAAUGAAUUUAGGCUGGAUGAUUGCUUGGAGUAUCAGCUGUGCUUGAACUUCUGUAUGUCAUUCAGAGGAAUUUACUCCUAAGAUUUCUUUUCCCUCCACCUGACAUUGUGCAGUAUACCACAGAGCAGCUGUCCACAGCCAGAAACUCAUCACUCUCUCUCUGAUCAGCACAUACAGGAAGGGAGAGAAGACAUCUGAGGUGGAAACAGAGACAGCUGAUAAUCUUUUGACUUCAGAUAAUAUCGAAUACAAGAGACGAUCCCCCUGUACCGCCCUAGAGUCUAACAGCACUCAGGAAAGUGAGGGGGAAGCACCAUAGUUUUGAGACCAGCUUGCUUUGGG